RNAcentral lists this long non-coding RNA (1000 nucleotides) under Marmota monax (woodchuck). Lineage: Eukaryota; Metazoa; Chordata; Mammalia; Rodentia; Sciuridae. The record is from RNAcentral.
CUAAGACCUAAAAGUCUGACAGCUAACAUCCAAGUGGUGGUAAUAAGUGUGGGUGAUUCUCCAUGUCCCUAGCACCUUGCUUCACAGUGAGCCUGCCCCAUUCUUAUUGCUGAUAGAAAGAACAAGUCAUAAACCAAAUUGGUGAUAAAACUCUGGGCUUCCACCUCAAGCUGAGAAUGUGCCUAUGCUGCUUCCUGGGCACUCUGACUGCUCUGAGCAGGGUUGUCGAAGCUGGGUCAACCAUGGGCUUGACCACCUGCUCAGAGGAGAUGGCAGGACUUAGCUGUCUCCCAGGAACAAUGAGGAAGCAUUGGAGUAGUUUGCAGAUAAGCAAAGAUAGUGGAUGGAUUAGAGUUGGAAACAUCAGUAUGAAUUUGGUUAGCACAAUAGAGAUACAGUUAUUACAUAUCAAAAGAGAGCUACACACAUGAACACUUGGGCUAGUAGAUACAUAUGUACCUCCUUGUUCUGUCGGCUAAGAGGGCCUAGAAGCAAUGACCCCACAGCAACAAGCACACUUUACAUUCUCUAACACAGUUCUCCGAUAAUAGGACCCAAGGCUCCUUGGAGAAAUGUUGAUUUCAAGAUUAGAACAGAAAACAUGUCCAACAUCUCUGGAACAUUCUGUAGUGCCAGGAUGUAAGGAAGUACUCAAAAACAUAAAUAAAAAAAAAUUUAAAUGCCACCAUAAGGGUAUGUCAAAGGGAUCUAUCCCCGUUCCCAAACGAACCCCCGAAAAAGCUCUCAAAGCCUAAAGCUAGAACAAGUUGAGCAACAACAGGAAGUAGCGUUACAUUGUGGUCUAAAACACAAAAUAAACACCCAGGGAUCCAGACUGGCAUAGAGAAGCAGCUGGAAAAUAAAUAAAUAAAUACCUAUAGAGAAGAGACAAACCUGUGCAGAAUAAUUCCAAAUCAUUUUUGUGGACACUCUGCCUUCAAGGAGGUGAAGGAUAACUUCUGCUCCCAAAGUGUGGAUGGUGCGUGGAGCCCGACUUCCU